GGUUGAAAGUGAGCUUUUUUUGCCCAGAAUUGCCCAGAAUGUGACAGACUACUGCAGAGCUUGCAAGACAUGCCAGCGGACGGGCAAAAGUGGGGACAAGAGAAAGGCUCCUGUACAGCCCCUCCCUAUCAUUGAUCAACCCUUCCAAAGAUUGGGGAUAGACAUUGUGGGCCCUCUGAGGCAUAAGACUCGUAGAGGGAAGAAAUACUUCCUGACUUUAGUGGACUUUGCCACUCGGUAUCUGGAGGCAGUUGCCUUCACCUCCACAGAGGCACCUAUGGUUGCUGAUGCCCUAACCAAGAUCUUCUUCCAGCUGGGUUUUCC
Gavialis gangeticus (Gharial) is the source of this 324-nucleotide long non-coding RNA. RefSeq lists it as uncharacterized. The record is from RefSeq and is a predicted model, not a curated record. NCBI's taxonomy places the organism in Eukaryota, Metazoa, Chordata, Crocodylia, Gavialidae. The transcript has 3 exons.